RNAcentral lists this transfer RNA (75 nucleotides) under Cupriavidus necator. RNAcentral describes it as "tRNA-Met". It matches the Rfam family "tRNA". From Rfam's summary of the family: Transfer RNA (tRNA) molecules are approximately 80 nucleotides in length. The record is from RNAcentral. Lineage: Bacteria; Pseudomonadati; Pseudomonadota; Betaproteobacteria; Burkholderiales; Burkholderiaceae.
UGCGGCAUAGCUCAGCGGGAGAGCGCGGGACUCAUAACCCCGAGGUCGGUGGUUCGAUUCCAUCUGCCGCAACCA